CCUCCCUUCGUAAUGGGGCGGCGGGGGGCCGUAGCCCUCAUCGUGGUAGUGCCCGUGGUAUCCCCCGUGGGGUCCUCCGUACUCCGCCGGGUGGUCUCCCAGAAGCGGGGGCUGCCGCUGGCGCUUGUUGGGAUUGCCGCCCGGGUCGCCUUGUCCGCUGAGGUUGGGGUUGGUGUAGUCCCAGGUGUCCUGGUCGUUCUUGAAAACGUUCAGGCGUGUGGGCUUAGCGUACUCAAUCUUCAGCGUGCAGCACCCAGAGUAGAUGUCGGCCCCGUUAAGGGACGCUUUGGCUCGCUGUGCGCUCUGCACUGAGUCAAACUCCACCAUGGCCUGGACGCCGUUCUUCCUGAAGAUAACGAUCCUCUGCACGGGGCCACACGGGUUGCAGAUGGUGUAGAGCACAUCCGUCGUGAUCGAGUAGAUGGGGUUGAGAAUGGUGAAGAGCAAAACGUUGUUGACGCCGCGGGAGUCGUCGCUGUCCCCGGGGCGGGAGAUCUUCUGGCUGGUGGAGUAGUUGACGAAGGCGGGGUGUCCGGCGAUGUAGAUUUGGUUGUCGGCUGCGUAGUUGACAGCAUUGCAGGCACCCAGGAUGUCCUCAAACUCCACCAAGGCCUGGCGCUUCUUGGGCAUCACCACCACGUAACUGAUGGGGCCAAACUCCUGCAGGGCCUCCACCAGGUCGGCCUCCACCACGCCGUCGAUCAGCCCCCGGAUGUGCACCACGGGGGACGCGGGGGUCUUGUGGGGAUCGUCGUAGUUCUCCGCUCCGCCGGCCCCGGCCCCGCCGCCCCCCCCCGGCCCUCCGGGCCCAUGAGGCGGCGGCUCCGCGUUCUCCGUCUUCUGACGCUUCGGGGCUCGGCCUCCGUCGCCCCCCCCGCCGUAGUACCGCCCCGAGCCGCCCCCGCCGCCGCCGCCCGCCGCCAUUUUGCCCAUCUCGCCCCCGCGGCCGCUGCCCUCCGCGCUCUGCGGGCCCCGCCACCGCCGCCGCGACAUGGCGCCCCGCUCCGCCGCACCGCCUCCGCCACGCCCCUAUUGGGCGGGCCCC
This 1045-nucleotide long non-coding RNA is filed under the name Gallus gallus (chicken). Lineage: Eukaryota; Metazoa; Chordata; Aves; Galliformes; Phasianidae. The record is from RNAcentral.